Synchiropus splendidus (mandarinfish) is the source of this 329-nucleotide long non-coding RNA. RefSeq lists it as uncharacterized. The transcript has 3 exons. Lineage: Eukaryota; Metazoa; Chordata; Actinopteri; Syngnathiformes; Callionymidae. The record is from RefSeq and is a predicted model, not a curated record.
GGUUCGCAAAAUGCUGCCUUAAGAGAGAGAGCAGUCUUGUCCUCUUCUGCAAAGAGAGAAAAAAGAGCUGGGACGAUGUGAGUGGAGGUGGGCUUCGUAUCUGCAUCCAUGCACAGAGAAAGGAGCGGAAACAGACACUCCGGCACUGGGAGGCAGGCAGAUGUCAAAUGUGUUGCAUCUACUUGACUUCAUCUUGGGCAAGCUGCCAAAGGUCCUGACAUGAGUUGCCUGAAACUGUGUUGACUUUUUGGAGAGAACUCAACCCCUGCUGGAUGGCUUCCACCCUUCCAUUAAAGCGUGUCAUUUAAAAUAAAAAGGCAAUGUUUGGC